RNAcentral lists this ribosomal RNA (211 nucleotides) under uncultured bacterium. RNAcentral's name for it is "partial 16S ribosomal RNA". It matches the Rfam family "Bacterial small subunit ribosomal RNA", at positions 524 to 734 of the family's 1533-position model. The record is from RNAcentral.
UACAGAGGUCUCGAGCGUUAGGCGGAAUCACUGGGCUUAAAGCGUGUGUAGGUGGAUCGUUAAGUACCUUGUGAAAUCCCACGGCUUAACCGUGGAACUGCUUGGUAUACUGGCGGUCUUGAGCCAGCUAGGGGCUACCGGAACAAAUGGUGGAGCGGUGAAAUGCGUAGAUAUCAUUUGGAACGCCAAUGGUGAAAACAGGUAGCUGGGG